This 716-nucleotide ribosomal RNA is filed under the name uncultured Staphylococcus sp. Its description in RNAcentral is "bacterial SSU rRNA". It matches the Rfam family "Bacterial small subunit ribosomal RNA", at positions 65 to 763 of the family's 1533-position model. Lineage: Bacteria; Bacillati; Bacillota; Bacilli; Caryophanales; Staphylococcaceae. The record is from RNAcentral.
AGCGAACGGACGAGAAGCUUGCUUCUCUGAUGUUAGCGGCGGACGGGUGAGUAACACGUGGAUAACCUACCUAUAAGACUGGGAUAACUUCGGGAAACCGGAGCUAAUACCGGAUAAUAUUAUGAACCGCAUGGUUCAAAAGUGAAAGACGGUCUUGCUGUCACUUAUAGAUGGAUCCGCGCUGCAUUAGCUAGUUGGUAAGGUAACGGCUUACCAAGGCAACGAUGCAUAGCCGACCUGAGAGGGUGAUCGGCCACACUGGAACUGAGACACGGUCCAGACUCCUACGGGAGGCAGCAGUAGGGAAUCUUCCGCAAUGGGCGAAAGCCUGACGGAGCAACGCCGCGUGAGUGAUGAAGGUCUUCGGAUCGUAAAACUCUGUUAUUAGGGAAGAACAUAUGUGUAAGUAACUGUGCACAUCUUGGCGGUACCUAAUCAGAAAGCCACGGCUAACUACGUGCCAGCAGCCGCGGUAAUACGUAGGUGGCAAGCGUUAUCCGGAAUUAUUGGGCGUAAAGCGCGCGUAGGCGGUUUUUUAAGUCUGAUGUGAAAGCCCACGGCUCAACCGUGGAGGGUCAUUGGAAACUGGAAAACUUGAGUGCAGAAGAGGAAAGUGGAAUUCCAUGUGUAGCGGUGAAAUGCGCAGAGAUAUGGAGGAACACCAGUGGCGAAGGUGACUUUCUGGUCUGUAACUGACGCUGAUGUGCGAAAGCGUG